UAUUUUUACUUUUUCUUACAGAUGGAGUUGACAAGUCCUGAACUGUCACAAGGUGACAUAUAACAAUCCUGACUAGCUGCCAUUGAUAUCCCCAGUUUCCAUUCACAAAAUUACAGGACCCUGCAUAGGUACAAAGUUAUGCAAAAUUGAUCUACAGGCUUUGAAGAACAGAAGCAAAAAAGGAUGAGAAAUGAGACAGAAGAAGGAGGAUUCUAGAGAAUUUGUAUACAGAGACUUAAGGUGGCUAACAACUUAUCUAAAACAAUACUGACUUAAAAACUAUACAAAAAGCAUUAAGGUCAUAAAGAUGAACCUGGGGAUGGAAACAUAGUUCUAUGCAGAAUUCCAAGAGGACAAAGAAAGUGGACUAAAUUACACAACUCACUUCCAUUUCCUCUGAAACUUCCGUAUUUGUUGAGAUUUAAAGUGGCCUUACAGUUGAAAAGAGACCUAUAUUCCAAAGUUGAAAGCCAUCCAACCAUCACCCAAUGUUCUGAAGAUCUAACUGCUUUGUCUACAUUUGAAUGUGUAUCUUAUAAUCAUCAUUUCUUUCUGGACCAUUUUUCAGACAAAUGAAUUGCCUACAUUAUUAUGUUCGUUUAUUGUUUGAGUUACAUUGAUAUUAAGAUUUUUUUAAAGA
Molecule: long non-coding RNA, 640 nt
Organism: Sceloporus undulatus (fence lizard)
Lineage: Eukaryota; Metazoa; Chordata; Lepidosauria; Squamata; Phrynosomatidae
Exons: 3
Source: RefSeq, a predicted model, not a curated record